CCUACGGGAUGCAGCAGUGAGGAAUAUUGGUCAAUGGCCGCAGGGCUGAACCAGCCAAGUCGCGUGAGGGAUGACGGUCCUAUGGAUUGUAAACCUCUUUUGUCAGGGAGCAAAGGGCGCCACGUGUGGCGCUUUGCGAGUACCUGAAGAAAAAGCAUCGGCUAACUCCGUGCCAGCAGCCGCGGUAAUACGGAGGAUGCGAGCGUUAUCCGGAUUUAUUGGGUUUAAAGGGGGCGCAGGCGGAAUGUCAAGUCAGCGGUAAAAUUUCGGGGCUCAACCCCGUCGUGCCGUUGAAACUGGCGUUCUUGAGUGAGCGAGAAGUAUGCGGAAUGCGUGGUGUAGCGGUGAAAUGCAUAGAUAUCACGCAGAACUCCGAUUGCGAAGGCAGCAUACCGGCGCUCAACUGACGCUCAUGCACGAAAGCGUGGGUAUCGAACAGGAUUAGAUACCCGAGUAGUC
Molecule: ribosomal RNA, 459 nt
Filed under: uncultured bacterium
Lineage: Bacteria
Description: partial 16S ribosomal RNA
Rfam family: Bacterial small subunit ribosomal RNA
Source: RNAcentral